UACGUAGGGUGCAAGCGUUGUCCGGAAUUAUUGGGCGUAAAGAGCUCGUAGGCGGUUUGUUGCGUCGGCUGUGAAAUCCCGAGGCUCAACCUCGGGUCUGCAGUCGAUACGAGCAAACUAGAGUGUUGCAGGGGAGACUGGAAUUCCUGGUGUAGUGGUGAAAUGCGUAGAGAUCGGGAGGAACACCCGUGGCGAAGGCGGCCAGCUGGGCCGUACCUGACGCUGAGGCGCGAAGGCGUGGGGAGCGAACGGG
Molecule: ribosomal RNA, 253 nt
Filed under: uncultured bacterium
Lineage: Bacteria
Description: partial 16S ribosomal RNA
Rfam family: Bacterial small subunit ribosomal RNA
Source: RNAcentral